AGCGAACGCUGGCGGCAGGCUUAACACAUGCAAGUCGAGCGGGCAUAGCAAUAUGUCAGCGGCAGACGGGUGAGUAACGCGUGGGAACGUACCUUUUGGUUCGGAACAACUGAGGGAAACUUCAGCUAAUACCGGAUAAGCCCUUACGGGGAAAGAUUUAUCGCCGAAAGAUCGGCCCGCUUCUGAUUAGCUAGUUGGUGAGGUAAUGGCUCACCAAGGCGACGAUCAGUAGCUGGUCUGAGAGGAUGAUCAGCCACAUUGGGACUGAGACACGGCCCAAACUACUACGGGAGGCAGCAGUGGGGAAUAUUGGAAAAUGGGCGCAAGCAUGAUCCAGCCAUGCCGCGUGAGUGAUGAAGGCCCUAGGGUUGUAAAGCUCUUUUGUGCGGGAAGAUAAUGACGGUACCGAAAGAAUAAGCCCCGGCUAACUUCGUG
This 435-nucleotide ribosomal RNA is filed under the name uncultured bacterium. Its description in RNAcentral is "partial 16S ribosomal RNA". It matches the Rfam family "Bacterial small subunit ribosomal RNA", at positions 29 to 507 of the family's 1533-position model. The record is from RNAcentral.